RNAcentral lists this long non-coding RNA (411 nucleotides) under Carica papaya (papaya). RNAcentral describes it as "long non-coding RNA (CPAP_LNC004725)". The record is from RNAcentral. Lineage: Eukaryota; Viridiplantae; Streptophyta; Magnoliopsida; Brassicales; Caricaceae.
CUGAUUAAAAUUUUUGUAGCCCAGCUUAAUUUAGUCAAAUGGAUCACUAGCUUAUUAGCCCAUUUGAAAAACCGAAGCCCCAUUUUUCAGUUUCAUCAAAGUCUUUUUCGCAGGCCGCAACUUCUCAUAAUUUGCUGAUAGCAAAACUUCUCAGUGGUUGAAACUUUCUUCAUUGUCCAACGCCGCAUUCUUAUCUUCAGCUUUACUUUGGAGUGGUGCGGCAUCACAGAGAUUUUUUUACCUCCGCCUUGUCUUUGAGAAUUCGAGGCCCUCUCUGCAAGUUCAAUCGACUUGCUUAAGGAUUGGGUUUAAAGGUUAUGCUAAUAGUCAUGAAGUUGUUUCAACAAGUACCGAGGUUCCAUAUAUUGAUAGGAGAACACCAAAUACUUAAUUGGAUAUUUUUUGACAAGU